RNAcentral lists this long non-coding RNA (1443 nucleotides) under Capra hircus (goat). RNAcentral describes it as "lncRNA (ENSCHIG00010005293.1)". Lineage: Eukaryota; Metazoa; Chordata; Mammalia; Artiodactyla; Bovidae. The record is from RNAcentral.
UGUGGCCCCCACAUCUCAGCAGUCGGCAGGCAGGACGGAUGAGCUGUAGGAGCUGCUGACACUCCCAGGACAGGCAAGCUAAUGAGAAACUGGCCGACUUGGAGGGAUGGUCCUGUGAUGCAUGGGUGGGGCCAGGAGAGGUGCCUAGGCUGAGGGGCAGGGAACAGGGAGGGGAAGUCCUGGUCCCACUCAGGAACAUGCUCUGACACGGCGGGGGUGGGACUUCGGUAUCUUCCUCUGGGUGGCAGAGUCACAAGGCAGGGGUGGGAGCUCCCUGCAGGAUGGGCGUGGUAGUCGGGGGCAGCACCAACAGAAUCUCCAGAGAGAGGGGUCCACUCGGGUAGGAGGAUGAUGGGGUCACCAACCCUUUGGGUUCCACAGGGGUCUGGAGACAUGGGAGCAGCAGGACCUGAGAGCUGCCAAGGGCAGAGAGAAGGGAAGCCCCCACCAGCUCAGAACCUGGAGGAGCUGCAGGAGAGGGGCAGGGGCUGCCUGGGCCUCAGUGUGGCCUGCCUGUGCCCGCCUGGAGCCCCUCAUCGCCCAGCCAGGCCCGGCGCCCCGCCCGUUCUGGCCUGUCCUGUGGGCUGCUGUGCAGGCAUGGACAUGUGACCGGUGACACAGGAAGGGCUGACGUGGGUGGACAGAAGAGCCACAGAGGAGUUCAGGGGCGGGAGGCGAUGACUCCAGGGCCUCAGAUGGCGUGGGGGUCAGACAGAUGGUGUUCCUAGGACUUGGUUCUCAUGGGUGUGGGAUAGGAUUUAGAGUAGGUUCAACUAUUACCCAGGCUGGGGCGGGGGCAAUCUUCUAGGGUCCAAGCCUGGGCUCUUGUGUAACACUGGGAAACUGAUUACCUGAGGAUACACAUGUAGUGGGAAACAAGGCCGAGGCCUUGGUGGGGAAGGGGCCCCUGGGAGGUGGGCAGCAGAGUCGGGGAACCCAGGAAAACUGCUCUGCCCUGUGGGCAGCCCAGUCUUGGGCUGGAUAUUGGUGGGGUUAGCUUUCUAGGUUGUCUUCGGUCAGUCAUCUUUCUUGUGCCCAGGUGUGGUCUGAGGCCCUUCCUGAUGACACACACAUCUCUCAGGCAAGAUGGUUUCCAGCAGGAGUGUUUCUGGGAAGUUGGCAGGACAUAGUAUAGGCUGGCCUCACCCGCCUCCUUCUGGCCCCCCAGAAGUCUCCAGUUAGAUUUCGGCAGUAGCUUCUCAGUAACGCACACCUUACAGGGAACUCCUAUUUUGAGACAACUCAGGCAAGUGCUUAUUAUUGUGUUUUUACUGGUGGGGGAGGGGGAGGAGGUUUUAGGCAAUGGUUCUGUAAAAAUACUGUCCCCUCCUCCCACCCUGAGACACUACAGACUUAUUCAGAUAAUUCUUGCAUAAUCGGAGUGGAAAUCAGGUUGAUUAUAAUCUUUGCAGCCAAAGAUGGAGAAGCUCUAUACAGUCAGCA